RNAcentral lists this transfer RNA (70 nucleotides) under Lactococcus garvieae. It matches the Rfam family "tRNA". Rfam says of the family: Transfer RNA (tRNA) molecules are approximately 80 nucleotides in length. Their secondary structure includes four short double-helical elements and three loops (D, anti-codon, and T loops). RNAcentral also lists the same sequence under 2 other names. Lineage: Bacteria; Bacillati; Bacillota; Bacilli; Lactobacillales; Streptococcaceae. The record is from RNAcentral.
AUCUUUAGCUCAGUUGGUUAGAGCUCUCGGCUCAUAACCGAGCGGUCGUUGGUUCGAAUCCAACAAGAUC